This is a non-coding RNA of Ciona savignyi (Pacific transparent sea squirt), 852 nucleotides long. Lineage: Eukaryota; Metazoa; Chordata; Ascidiacea; Phlebobranchia; Cionidae. The record is from Rfam.
CGUGCAUUUAUCAGACCAAAAACCGGCCGCGUCUUCGGGCGCGUUCGCCUUGGUGACUCUGGAUAACUUUGCGGAUCGCACGGUCUAGCACCGGCGACGGAUCAUUCAAGUGUCUGCCCUAUCAACUUUCGUCGGUACGGUAUUUGCCUACCUAGGUUCUUACGGGUGACGGGGAAUCAGGGUUCGAUUCCGGAGAGGGAGCCUGAGAAACGGCUACCACAUCCAAGGAAGGCAGCAGGCGCGCAAAUUACCCAUUCCCGACGCGGGGAGGUAGUGACGAAAAAUAACAAUGCAGGACUCGUUCGAGGCCCUGUAAUUGGAAUGAGUACACUUUAAAAGCUUUAACGAGUAUCCAUUGGAGGGCAAGUCUGGUGCCAGCAGCCGCGGUAAUUCCAGCUCCAAAAGUAUAUAUUUAAGUUGUUGCGGUUAAAAAGCUCGUAGUUGGAUUUUGGGCGCAGGCGGCCGGUCCGUCGCAAGGCGUGUACUGGACGUCCUGGCCUUCCCUCCGGUUCUCCGCCGGUGCUCUUGACUGAGUGUCGGCGGCGGCCGGAACGUUUACUUUGAAAAAAUUAGAGUGUUCAAAGCAGGCUCUCGAGCCUGGAUAAUGGUGCAUGGAAUAAUGGAAUAGGACCUCGGUUCUAUUUUGUUGGUUUUCGGAGCGCGAGGUAAUGAUUAAGAGGGACAGACGGGGGCAUUCGUACUGUGCCGUUAGAGGUGAAAUUCUUGGAUCGGCGCAAGACGAACGACUGCGAAAGCAUUUGCCAAGAAUGUUUUCUUUAAUCAAGAGCGAAAGUCAGAGGUUCGAAGACGAUCAGAUACCGUCCUAGUUCUGACUAUAAACGAUGCCCACUA